AGAAACCAACAGGGAUUGCCCUAGUAACGGCGAGUGAAGCGGCAACAGCUCAAAUUUGAAAUCUGGCCCUUGGGUCCGAGUUGUAAUUUGUAGAGGAUGCUUUUGGUUAGGUACCUUCCGAGUUCCUUGGAACAGGACGCCUUAGAGGGUGAGAGCCCCGUACGGUUGGAUACCGAGCCUCUGUAAAGCUCCUUCGACGAGUCGAGUAGUUUGGGAAUGCUGCUCUAAAUGGGAGGUAAAUUUCUUCUAAAGCUAAAUACCGGCCAGAGACCGAUAGCGCACAAGUAGAGUGAUCGAAAGAUGAAAAGCACUUUGAAAAGAGGGUUAAAUAGUACGUGAAAUUGUUGAAAGGGAAGGGCUUGUGACCAGACCUUUGCCUUGCGGAUCAUCCGGUGUUCUCACCGGUGCACUCCGCUUGGUUGAGGCCAGCAUCAGUUUCGGCGGCGGGAUAAAGACUUCAGGAACGUGACUCCCCCGGGAGUGUUAUAGCCUGCUGUGUAAUACCGCCGCUGGGACUGAGGACCGCGCUUCGGCUAGGAUGCUGGCAUAAUGGUCAUCAGCCACCCGUCUUGAAACACGGACCAAGGAGUCGAACAUUUAUGCGAGUUUUUGGGUGUUAAACCCUCAAGCGUAAUGAAAGUGAACGGAGGUGAGAGCCCUUACGGGUGCAUCAUCGACCGAUCCUGAUGUCUUCGGAUGGAUUUGAGUAAGAGCAUAACUGUUCGGACCCGAAAGAUGGUGAACUAUGCGUGGAUAGGGUGAAGCCAGAGGAAACUCUGGUGGAGGCUCGCAGCGGUUCUGACGUGCAAAUCGAUCGUCAAAUCUGCGCAUGGGGGCGAAAGACUAAUCGAACAUCUAGUAGUGGU
RNAcentral lists this ribosomal RNA (866 nucleotides) under Microdochium shilinense. Its description in RNAcentral is "Microdochium sp. YG-2022d partial large subunit ribosomal RNA". It matches the Rfam family "Eukaryotic large subunit ribosomal RNA", at positions 60 to 955 of the family's 3401-position model. Lineage: Eukaryota; Fungi; Ascomycota; Sordariomycetes; Xylariales; Microdochiaceae. The record is from RNAcentral.